CCUACGGGUGGCAGCAGUGGGGGAUAUUGCACAAUGGGGGGAACCCUGAUGCAGCGACGCCGCGUGGGUGAAGGAGCGUUUCGGCGCGUAAAGCCCUAUCGGCAGGGAAGAAGAUGACGGUACCUGACCAAGAAGCCCCGGCUAACUACGUGCCAGCAGCCGCGGUAAGACGUAGGGGGCAAGCGUUAUCCGGAUUUACUGGGGGGAAAGGGGGCGCAGACGGCAAUGCAAGCCAGGAGUGAAAGCCCGGGGCCCAACCCCGGGACUGCUCUUGGAACUGCAUGGCUGGAGCACAGGAGGGGCAGGCGGAAUUCCUAGUGUAGCGGUGAAAUGCGUAGAUAUUAGGAGGAACACCGGUGGCGAAGGCGGCCUGCUGGACUGUGACUGACGUUGAGGCCCGAAGGCGUGGGGAGCGAAAGGGAUUAGAUACCCCAGUAGUC
This 440-nucleotide ribosomal RNA is filed under the name uncultured bacterium. RNAcentral describes it as "partial 16S ribosomal RNA". It matches the Rfam family "Bacterial small subunit ribosomal RNA", at positions 338 to 795 of the family's 1533-position model. The record is from RNAcentral.